AGCGAACGCUGGCGGCAGGCUUAACACAUGCAAGUCGAGCGGGCAUCUUCGGGUGUCAGCGGCGGACGGGUGAGUAACGCGUGGGAACGUGCCUUCUGGUUCGGAAUAACUCAGGGAAACUUGAGCUAAUACCGGAUACGCCCUUUUGGGGAAAGGCUUACUGCCGGAAGAUCGGCCCGCGUCUGAUUAGCUAGUUGGUGGGGUAACGGCCUACCAAGGCGACGAUCAGUAGCUGGUCUGAGAGGAUGAUCAGCCACACUGGGACUGAGACACGGCCCAGACUCCUACGGGAGGCAGCAGUGGGGAAUGUUGGACAAUGGGGGCAACCCUGAUCCAGCCAUGCCGCGUGAGUGAUGAAGGCCUUAGGGUUGUAAAGCUCUUUUAUCCGGGACGAUAAUGACGGUACCGGAGGAAUAAGCCCCGGCUAACUUCGUGCCAGCAGCCGCCGCUG
This 451-nucleotide ribosomal RNA is filed under the name uncultured bacterium. RNAcentral describes it as "partial 16S ribosomal RNA". It matches the Rfam family "Bacterial small subunit ribosomal RNA", at positions 29 to 523 of the family's 1533-position model. The record is from RNAcentral.